RNAcentral lists this long non-coding RNA (327 nucleotides) under Olea europaea (common olive). Its description in RNAcentral is "long non-coding RNA (OEUR_LNC003128)". The record is from RNAcentral. Lineage: Eukaryota; Viridiplantae; Streptophyta; Magnoliopsida; Lamiales; Oleaceae.
CAUGCAGAUGUACUUAGAGCAAAUGAAAAGUGAAAUUGUGAUGUGGCUCUUCGCUGUACUUAUAGUCCCAAAUUCUAGUAGUAAGGUCAAGAUUGUUGGAUUCGAACCUUGGACAUAUUAAAGCGGACUUCCAGAAUUUUGUGUUGUAAAUGUAUUUGUGACAUGCAACUUUAUUAAUAAUGGUGUCUUUCACUAGAUUGAGACACGUGACUUUAAUCUUAGCCAUUGAUUGCUGCUUCUAGAUGGUUCCUAGACCUUAUCUUUUGGGUGCCGUUUCACUUGGCAAUUGGUUGAUUCAUUUUCAUCUGAUUGUUGGUUUUUGAGGAG